Molecule: long non-coding RNA, 546 nt
Filed under: Neogobius melanostomus (round goby)
Lineage: Eukaryota; Metazoa; Chordata; Actinopteri; Gobiiformes; Gobiidae
Description: lncRNA (ENSNMLG00000017795.1)
Source: RNAcentral
ACAGUUAUAUCAGAGGUGCAGAUGUUGAAGAAAAUCUCCAAAAUAAAUAAAAGCAGCAUCGCACACUCAGGUAGCCGAUGUCUGAUAUAUUUAUUCAAUAGAUAACGUUCUGGAAAAACCUUCUUCAGAUAUUUUCUUUUUUUUGACCCACCGUGCACGUGGCCACUGGGCUGGUCUUUUACAGUUGGCUCGUUAUUGUGCUGAACUCAUUUUGGGAGCAGAUCUGAUUGAAGACAUUGAAGAUGAGUUCCCAAAGAUGAUCGAUAUAUGAUUCAAUGAAAAGUUUGCAGCGCUUCUUCUCUGGGUGGACGCGGGACCACAGCGCCACCGUCUGGAGAGGAGAAGGAAACAGCCCCUGUGUUUGAGCCCGUGCCACAGGAUUACCCCCCGGGCUCCUCCCCUCUUUGGCCCCGGACCCGCCCUCUCCCUCUGGGAUUGGCUGAGGGGCCGGUGUCCCCCGGGGGCCCCUCUCUCUCUCUCACUCCUCAGUCUCAUUCACAGAAGUUUUCCCUCAGAGACUCAAACAGAUGAACAUGCGGCGGCCCG